AACAAGGUUUCUGUAGGUGAACCUGCAGAAGGAUCAUUAGUGAAGAUUUGGGCAGACCAUACGGACGCCAAAAAGUGUCCCUGGCCGCCUACACCCACUAUACAUCCACAAACCCGUGUGCACUGUCUUGGAGAAAGGCUUCAGAGAAGUUUUUUGUGGCCUCUCUUGGGGUCUUUCUUCGCUACAAACUCGAAUGGUUAGUAUGAACGUGGAACUUGGUUGGACCGUCACUGGCCAACAAACUAUACACAACUUUCGACAACGGAUCUCUUGGUUCUCCCAUCGAUGAAGAACGCAGCGAAACGCGAUAGGUAAUGUGAAUUGCAGAAUUCCGUGAAUCAUCGAAUCUUUGAACGCACCUUGCGCUCUAUGGCAAUCCGUAGAGCAUGCCUGUUUGAGUGCCAUGAAAUCUCCCACCCCAAGCGGUUUUUAAAUGAAACGGCUUGGCGGAUGGGGUCUGGAUGGGUGCCUCUGCCUGCGCUACCUAGCACAGGCUCGCCCGAAAUGCAUGAGCGCCUUGAGACACUUUGCAUCCGCCUCUCUGUUUGGGAGGAGGCGGCCAAGCAGUGUUUUUCUCCUGGCAUGGCAUGAUACGUCAUUUGCUAUGUCGCCUAAAGGAGGAAUGUUUGGUUGUGUCUGCGUGUGCUUCGAACUUGCCUCUGUGGCACAUCCCAAUUUCACUUCUGGUCUCAAAUCAGGUAGGAUCACCCGCUGAACUUAAGCAUAUCAAUA
Molecule: ribosomal RNA, 732 nt
Filed under: uncultured eukaryote
Lineage: Eukaryota
Description: eukaryotic LSU rRNA
Rfam family: 5.8S ribosomal RNA (bases 251-404)
Source: RNAcentral